RNAcentral lists this transfer RNA (72 nucleotides) under Acidimicrobiia bacterium. Its description in RNAcentral is "tRNA-Arg". It matches the Rfam family "tRNA". From Rfam's summary of the family: Transfer RNA (tRNA) molecules are approximately 80 nucleotides in length. Their secondary structure includes four short double-helical elements and three loops (D, anti-codon, and T loops). RNAcentral also lists the same sequence under 1 other name. The record is from RNAcentral. Lineage: Bacteria; Bacillati; Actinomycetota; Acidimicrobiia.
GCCCCAGUAGCUCAGGGGAUAGAGCACCGGCCUCCGGAGCCGGGUGCGCAGGUUCGAAUCCUGUCUGGGGCA